GUCGAGUGCAACAUCGCGCGCGCGAUCGAGCUGUUCCCGUGCCAGGCGGACGAAGGGAAGGAAUUAACCGCGGCUCAGCAAAAAGAGUGCUGCAAUGGCAUUUACCAGACUAAAAUUGAACUCCCCACUCCCGGCUCCAAUCCGGUCACUUACACCCGAACGGAAACUGGUUCAACCGACCUUUGGGCUAACUCUGGCUGCUUCUGCGUCAAGGCAAUCACCGACCAGGACACGACUUUCUUCAACACCGUGCUCAAGGAAGCGAAAAAAUGCGCAACAUCGUAUGGAGCCAAAUCCUUCGUCACGUGCACCAACGCCAACGGACUGACGGAAUGCGAUACCAGCGUGUUCAGUGCCUGCCCAGGUACUCUACCCACCAAUGGCUUUGUCGGUAAAACUCAAGCCCAAAUCAAGGCAGAGGUUGAAGCGCGUCCCGCCAAGAAGCCUCCUGCGCCUCCGCCUAUUUCUAUUCCCCCUACGGCCACGGCCAAGAAAGUUCAGCUCGAUCUCAGGCUCAAGGAUGCCACUGGAUUCCUCGGCGACACUACGGCCGCAAAGAAUAAAAGGAAGGAGCUCGAAGAGAACCUUGCCAAGGCUCUAUGCAAUUGCGCUUCCCCUACCUUCAAGGUGAAGAUCGUUUCCGUCUCGAAGGGCUCCACCAUCGUGAAGGCGGAGGUCGUGAAGGAGGGAGGCUCGCUCGAUUCUCAAGAACUGACUAGCAUCAACACCCAGACGAGCGCUGGGCUUGGGUCGAGUCCCUCGAUGAGCAGUUACGGCAACAUCUCGGCGACCGUUCCGGCACCCGCCCCGGCCGGCCAGGCGCCCGCACCCAUCCGCGAAGCCAAGACGAUCGAUCUUCCCGGCAAUCUCAACUCACCUCCCGCGAAGCUCCCAGGCGCCGUGACUGGCAUCCCCCGCAUUGGUCUCGACGGCUCUGAGUACGAUGGAGGCUUCAAUAUCACCAACGACGACUACCGUGCGUCCAUUGCUGGACAGAUGCUUCCCGGCGUCGUCAUGGCUGUUCUCCUCGUCGUCAUCAUGAUUCUCAUG
Molecule: long non-coding RNA, 1050 nt
Filed under: Micromonas commoda
Lineage: Eukaryota; Viridiplantae; Chlorophyta; Mamiellophyceae; Mamiellales; Mamiellaceae
Description: long non-coding RNA (MCOM_LNC000211)
Source: RNAcentral